Oryzias latipes (Japanese medaka) is the source of this 453-nucleotide long non-coding RNA. RefSeq lists it as uncharacterized. NCBI's taxonomy places the organism in Eukaryota, Metazoa, Chordata, Actinopteri, Beloniformes, Adrianichthyidae. The record is from RefSeq and is a predicted model, not a curated record.
GGUGUCAUUUAGAUGAGCCUGCGCCAAAAUGUUGCUACGUUUAUCCAUGGAGCGUUCCACAGAGGAGUCUGGAAUCCAUUGGACCUUUUGACGGCAAAUAAGGCUUCAGUGACUCAUCAACUCCAGAGCCGUCCUGCAUCAAUAAGAGCGUUUCAUCAACGCUGAGGCUUUGGAGGAUGAAGAACAUGCAAGUCAUCUCACAGGACACUAAAAUGAAAAGGUUCCACACACUUUGGGAAUCUGCCAUAUUGUCAUGGCUGAGGGCGUAAAAGGGUCAUCAGAACCAGGUCUGCAGGAGGCGGAGCUUCAGAAUUCCUUGCUGGAAACAUGGCGUCUGUCCAAGUAAAUGAGAAGUGGUCCUGAAGCACAGAACAAAGAGGUAACUGUGAAAACACUGUCCAGUUCAGAUGGAGGCUUUGGAGGUGCAGCUCUGUUACUGACAGAUGAGUUUUG